RNAcentral lists this long non-coding RNA (426 nucleotides) under Homo sapiens (human). RNAcentral's name for it is "HSALNT0145115". The record is from RNAcentral. Lineage: Eukaryota; Metazoa; Chordata; Mammalia; Primates; Hominidae.
GACAUGGCAUUUCAUUUGCUCCUGCAACAGCCUUUGAAAGGGGGUCCUGCUGUCCACGCUACUUUGCUGGGGAGGAGCUGGGACUCCAGCAGUAAGGUGACCGGCCCGAGGUCCUGCAGCUGCAAAUGCCACACCCAGGACUGGAGCCCAGGUCAGUCCUAAAGCCUUGCCACCCGCCGCCAGGGCCCUGCUGUUCUGGAGUCUCCACAGCCAAGCUUUUAGAAAAGAAAGAAGCCGCCUGUUCCAUAACACUUCAGAUCUAGAACUCAUGAACAUUUCUGCAGCAAAACCUGCACCAGCAAACUCUACAGAGUGAUGGUAAAGUCCAUCGGCAGCCUUGGGUCAGUUCAAGUAGAUUUUUGUCCCCAGAUGAGCUGGUCUUUGGAGACGUUUGCCUUUCAGAGAGGCAGGUGGGUCUCAGUCCAC